UGCCAGCAGCCGCGGUAAUACGAAGGUCCCAAGCGUUGUUCGGAAUUACUGGGCGUAAAGCGUCUGUAGGCGGCGCGGUAAGUCAGAUGUGAAAUCCCGGGGCUCAACCCCGGAACUGCAUCCGAUACUGCCGUGCUUGAGUAUUGGAGGGGAGUCUGGAAUUCUCGGUGUAGCAGUGAAAUGCGUAGAUAUCGAGAGGAACACUAGUGGCGAAGGCGAGACUCUGGACAAUAACUGACGCUGAGAGACGAAGGCCAGGGUAGCGAAAAGGAUUAGAUA
This 279-nucleotide ribosomal RNA is filed under the name uncultured bacterium. RNAcentral's name for it is "partial 16S ribosomal RNA". It matches the Rfam family "Bacterial small subunit ribosomal RNA", at positions 506 to 784 of the family's 1533-position model. The record is from RNAcentral.